GUCCUAGCCGUAAACACUGAACACUCGAGGAGGGGGGCUUCGGCCUUCUUUCUCUUAGCGAAAGCGUUAAGUGUUCCGCCUGGGGAGUAUGGUCGCAAGGCUGAAACUCAAAGGAAUUGACGGGGGCUCACACAAGCGGUGGAGCAUGUGGCUUAAUUCGAGGCAACGCGAAGAACCUUAUCCUGGGCUUGACAUGUACGGAUCAACCCGGUGAAAGCCGGGCCACACUCGCAAGAGCGGAACGUGCACAGGUGCUGCAUGGCUGUCGU
This 269-nucleotide ribosomal RNA is filed under the name uncultured bacterium. RNAcentral's name for it is "partial 16S ribosomal RNA". It matches the Rfam family "Bacterial small subunit ribosomal RNA", at positions 793 to 1055 of the family's 1533-position model. The record is from RNAcentral.